UGGGGAAUAUUGCACAAUGGGCGCAAGCCUGAUGCAGCCAUGCCGCGUGUGUGAAGAAGGCCUUCGGGUUGUAAAGCACUUUCAGCGAGGAGGAAGGUGGUGAGCUUAAUACGCUCAUCAAUUGACGUUACUCGCAGAAGAAGCACCGGCUAACUCCGUGCCAGCAGCCGCGGUAAUACGGAGGGUGCAAGCGUUAAUCGGAAUUACUGGGCGUAAAGCGCACGCAGGCGGUUUGUUAAGUCAGAUGUGAAAUCCCCGGGCUCAACCUGGGAACUGCAUUUGAAACUGGCAAGCUAGAGUCUCGUAGAGGGGGGUAGAAUUCCAGGUGUAGCGGUGAAAUGCGUAGAGAUCUGGAGGAAUACCGGUGGCGAAGGCGGCCCCCCUGGACGAAGACUGACGCUCAGGUGCGAAAGCGUGGGGCAGCAAACAGGAUUAGAUACCCUGGUAGUCCAGCGCUGUAAAACGAUGUCGAUUUGGAGGUUGUGCCCCUUGAGGCGUGGCUUCCGGAGCUAACGCGUUAAAUCGACCGCCUGGGGGAGUACGGCCGCAAGGUUAAAACUCAAAUGAAUUGAC
Molecule: ribosomal RNA, 573 nt
Filed under: uncultured bacterium
Lineage: Bacteria
Description: partial 16S ribosomal RNA
Rfam family: Bacterial small subunit ribosomal RNA
Source: RNAcentral